Non-coding RNA from Pelodiscus sinensis (Chinese soft-shelled turtle), 1058 nucleotides. The record is from RefSeq and is a predicted model, not a curated record. NCBI's taxonomy places the organism in Eukaryota, Metazoa, Chordata, Testudines, Trionychidae.
CACACUGCGUGAUCAGCGCUCCCAUUGGCCGCCGCGGCGUUGUUUACAUCCCCACCGACCAAUCACCGAGCCGACCGCGGAGCGUGGACAGUGUGUGUAAGAUGUACCGGGAGGUUGCGAAGGGAGGGAGAGGAGUGGAGGAGAGAGUGACGGGAGAGCGGGCCAAAGAGAGGCAUUCACCCUAUCCUGAUCUAUUGUGGUCCAUUUUGGAAUCGUUUAAAAGGGCUCUUCCACGGAGUUGAGUAGGAGUCAGAAGCUACUACUACGGAUGUAAUUCAACCACGUGAAUGCAGAGACGCAAUUUUAGAGUCUGUGAACCGUCACAUCACUACAGCCCGUAACACAAGCGGUGAGAACAAGGAAUGCCUAGCUGGGAGAGAUGGCCAGAUUUCAUUUGUUUGCCUGGUAGAGAGUGACUUCUUCUGGACAUGGUCAGUAAGACACCAUAUGAUUCCAGGCUGAAAAGAGGCAGUGUUGCCUGUUCGGUGCCAUCUACCUACCCAGCUAGCAACUGUGCCGUGUAAUAUUAUUGUUUUCUUUUUAACUUCAUUGCCAAAUUACUUUGUGAAACCAACCCACCGGGCCAGCUCCGCCUUUCUCAACAGCUGGACUGCGUACUAACUAAUAAUACCGGAAGCUCUUAUAAAGCACAAGAAUUAGCAACUGGCAAGAGCCACUUCCCCAGUGGCCAUCCCUUCCCUCGGCGCUGGGUCUGCCAUUCGGAAGACCCCAAAGACGAAUGGGACCCCACGUUGCCGGAGGCAGCAGGGGAGAGUUCGCUCCACAUCUCCUCCACGGCCCAGAUUCCUGUGAGCACAUCAACCCCUUUCUCCUUCCUCGUUGGCUUCCUGUAGAAUGGCGAGUCUCAUUCAUGGCCUCCGGCCUUAUUUUGAGGGGUCCUCAGUGGCGCCAACCUAUUUAAAAGAGACUGAAUGAUCCGGGAUGGGGACUGCGGUUGACAACUCCUUUUCCCAGGUCCAGUGGAACCUCUUACCAUCAGGGCAAAGUUCAGCUAUGUAGGAGACAGAGCUGUGAAUAAAGAAAAGUUAUUUACUUGU